This 253-nucleotide ribosomal RNA is filed under the name uncultured bacterium. RNAcentral describes it as "partial 16S ribosomal RNA". It matches the Rfam family "Bacterial small subunit ribosomal RNA", at positions 524 to 776 of the family's 1533-position model. The record is from RNAcentral.
GACGUAGGAGGCGAGCGUUGUCCGGAUUCAUUGGGCGUAAAGAGCGCGCAGGCGGCUUGGUAAGUCGGAUGUGAAAUCCCGAGGCUCAACCUCGGGUCUGCAUCCGAUACUGCCCGGCUAGAGGUAGGUAGGGGAGAUCGGAAUUCCUGGUGUAGCGGUGAAAUGCGCAGAUAUCAGGAGGAACACCGGUGGCGAAGGCGGUUCUCUGGGCAUGUCCUGACGCUGAGGAGCGAAAGUGUGGGGAGCGAACAGG